GAUGAACGCUGGCGGCGUGCCUAAUACAUGCAAGUCGAGCGAACAGAUAAGGAGCUUGCUCCUUUGACGUUAGCGGCGGACGGGUGAGUAACACGUGGGUAACCUACCUAUAAGACUGGAAUAACUCCGGGAAACCGGGGCUAAUGCCGGAUAACAUUUAGAACCGCUUGGUUUUAAAGUGAAAGAUGGUUUUGUUAUCACUUAUAGAUGGACCCGCGCCGUAUUAGCUAGUUGGUAAGGUAACGGCUUACCAAGGCAACGAUACGUAGCCGACCUGAGAGGGUGAUCGGCCACACUGGAACUGAGACACGGUCCAGACUCCUACGGGAGGCAGCAGUAGGGAAUCUUCCGCAAUGGGCGAAAGCCUGACGGAGCAACGCCGCGUGAGUGAUGAAGGUCUUCGGAUCGUAAAACUCUGUUAUUAGGGAAGAACAAAUGUGUAAGUAACUGUGCACGUCUUGACGGUACCUAAUCAGAAAGCCACGGCUAACUACGUG
RNAcentral lists this ribosomal RNA (497 nucleotides) under uncultured bacterium. RNAcentral's name for it is "partial 16S ribosomal RNA". It matches the Rfam family "Bacterial small subunit ribosomal RNA", at positions 28 to 507 of the family's 1533-position model. The record is from RNAcentral.